AUUGAACGCUGGCGGCAGGCCUAACACAUGCAAGUCGAACGAGUGGCGGACGGGUGAGUAAUGUCUGGGAAACUGCCUGAUGGAGGGGGAUAACUACUGGAAAGGGUAGCUAAUACCGCAUACCAUCGGAUGUGCCCAGAUGUGAUUAGCUAGUAGGUGGGGGAAAGGCUCACCUAGGCGACGAUCCCUAGCUGGUCUGAGAGGAUGACCAGCCACACUGGAACUGAGACACGGGCCAGAUGCCGACGGGAGGCAGCAGUGGGGAAUAUUGGACAAUGGGCGAAAGCCUGAUGCAGCGAUGCGGCGUGUAUGAAGAAGGCCUUCGGGUUGUAAAGUACAUUCAUCGGGGAGGCGUUACCCGCAGAAGAAGCACCGGCUAACUCCGUGCCAGCAGCCGCGGUAAUAC
This 406-nucleotide ribosomal RNA is filed under the name uncultured bacterium. RNAcentral's name for it is "partial 16S ribosomal RNA". It matches the Rfam family "Bacterial small subunit ribosomal RNA", at positions 29 to 526 of the family's 1533-position model. The record is from RNAcentral.